AGAUAUGUCAACCCUCUAGAGGCCUCCUGAGAUGAUCUCCUUGUUCUCUCAUGACAGUUUUGUUCCUCUUUUUUCCUUCUCCUUGCAGGGUCUUCAGCUCCUUCCUCUUUUGUUGGGAAUGAGGGGCGCUUGGCAGCUUGGGUCUUCAUUCUCAGCUGUGGGUUACCACUCUGUGGUCAUCAAUGCCUGGUCACCGAUGGGCAAUUGAAAGUGGCUGCAAUGUUACCCCUUGGUCCCGGAGGAUGCCACCAUCAUCGCUGACCUCACCGGAGACAGGCAGUUUACCUACACUAAGCACAGUGGUUGAGCAUUUUGAAAUGAAGACUUCUGAGGCCAAGAAUAUGGACUUCCCGGAGGCCACUUGCGUGCAUCACUUCCAAGAAGGCUAUUCAGUAAUUCACCGGAUGGCCCAGCUGAGUGAAGGUCAAAGUGAGCAAAGGCAGCACUUUUUAGGAAUUGAACGGGGAUCAGAAAGUUUGCCCUGA
This 485-nucleotide long non-coding RNA is filed under the name Canis lupus familiaris (dog). RNAcentral describes it as "lncRNA (ENSCAFG00845008321.1)". Lineage: Eukaryota; Metazoa; Chordata; Mammalia; Carnivora; Canidae. The record is from RNAcentral.